GAAUACUGUCCGGGCUGAGGUGAGGGCGGAUUUUCUCCGCCCGAGAGGGAAUGCGGUCAGGAGCGAUCCGAAGCCGCAGCCGCCCCCGCGACCGUAAGCGGCGGUCUGCCACGAAUCCCACUGGCCCGCGGGCUGGGAAGGGGUGGCGGGACGAGUGCCGCGAGCCGGGAAACCUGCCUCGGUCGGUGCAACCCU
Molecule: non-coding RNA, 195 nt
Filed under: Prosthecodimorpha hirschii
Lineage: Bacteria; Pseudomonadati; Pseudomonadota; Alphaproteobacteria; Hyphomicrobiales; Ancalomicrobiaceae
Source: RNAcentral